ACUAGACAGCUUUGUUGUUUAUUCUAAGUACAAAUGUUAAAUUUUUGAUAGAGUAUAAGGCUUAUUACCUUUUUUUUUUUAACAAAACGAGAAGAAUCAAGACAAUUUCUUUUCUUUAGCUACAUAGAAAUGAUUUCUGUUUUCAAACUUCAUGAUUUUAAAGGAAAGACUGUCCUGGGGCAGAAGGGAAUCCUGCCAACCAGCAUACCAAGAAUUCUGAGACAGACUCAGGUCUUUUUUGCUAAUCUGGUUUGAGUCACUUAGCCUCCAAUUCUUCAUGAGGAGUGUCAACCACUUCAUGAAAAUAACAUGGAUUAACCAAGCCAUUGCUCUAGAAACCAGAGUCCCAGGUGUCUGGGCCUCACAAGGUACUUAGGCUGAGCUGGGAAAUAACUGAGUGCUGUCUUCCUGAGACAGAAGAGUGUCUGACUGACCAAUGCAUGCAUCGUUCUCGGAGGCUAGCAAGGCUUGUAUGAUGCUAAAUGAAUUUAAUGAUUUAAUAGGCUGAAUCCAUAAUAUAUGUAAUUAAAAAAAUGGAUACAGCGGGCACUGUUACCUUAAGUUGAACAGAAGAACAGCUCUGGCUCCUCUAUAUACAUUCAUUUCAACAGUUAAUGCUUUUCCAAUCAAUGCAGAUUAACCAGGAUGUAGAGUCCACAUUUCAUGGUGCUAGCUAGCUUUUGGGUAAAGACUGGCAGGGCAAGAGGUGGGGCAGGGGAGGCAACAAAUGGAGGACAUGUAUAAGGGGAAAUACGAAGCAGAAAUGUGAUUGCAACCCAGCAGUCACAUGUUGACAGUAAAUAGGAAAGACGACCUUCUAAAAGGUAAUAAAAUAUGGGAAACAGAAAACUGGAGGUUAUAGUAAAACAAAAAUGAAAAAUCAUCAGUAGUCCUUAUCUGUGGGACAUAUGUUCCAAGACCCCCAAAGGAUGCCUUGAAACGCGGAUAGUACCCAACUCUAUAUAUACUAUGGCUUUUCCUAUACAUACAUAUCUAUGAUACAGUUCAAUUUAUAAAUUAGGCAGAGUAAGCGAUUAACAACAAUAAUAAUGCAACUGUUAUACUGUAAUAAAAGUUACUGUAGAUUUUAGCAGUCUCAGCAUAAGAUGUUUUUUCUUUCCUUAGUGAGUCUAGAACUUUCACCUUUUCACUUAAAGGAAGCACUUUAUGACUUCUCUUUGGCAUAUCCAAAUCACCAGCAUCACAACUUUUGUGCUAUGGGGCUAUUAUUAAGUAAAAUAAGAGUUACUUGAACACAAGCACUGUGACAUUGCCACAGUCGAUCUGAUAACUGAGAGGGCUACUAAGUGACUAAUGGGCAGACAGCAUAUAUAACGUGGACCUGCUGGACAAAGGGAUGAUUCAUGUUCUGGGUCGGAGGGCAUGAGAUUUCAUCACGCUACUGAGAAUGGUGUGUAACUUAAAACUUAUGAGUUGUUUAUUUCUGGAAUUUUCCAUUUAAUAUUUUCAGACCUUGGUCACCUGGAGGUAACUGAAACCACAGACAGUAAAACCACAGAUAAGAGGAGACUACUGUAUCAGAAUAAAGAACCAAGACCUGAAUUACACUUCAAAAAUUGACUAAGAUAGAAUGUUAAUAAAUUGCUCUAACUAGAUCUUCUGGAAGGUAAGAAGUCUGGCAAGCCAAAUUGAAUAGAGAUAAAGCAAAGUGGCUAUCACCUUAUUUGUGAACAGGCUGUUGUAAAUAAGCCGCAACACAUUUAUGUUUUAUUCCCCCAAAAUGUGACAUCCAAUCUUAGGAAAUGUGGGUUGGUGCUUGGUCCCAAACUCUAAUUGGAAACAGUCAUUAUUUAUGGAUAAGUGUGGAAGAGGAGGCCAAAAAUGACAAGUAAGCACUGACCCCCAGAAGGAUGGGCAAUAAUAAAGUAUUUAGAAAAAUACCAUCCAAAAUUAAAACUGUCUAUAGGAGACUUCCCACCUUUAUGGAGGUGGUAGACUGAAUGCCAGUGCUUUCCAUGGUUCCUGAUUUUCUCCUCUGUGGGAAUCUUUGUCAAUGUUUGGGGAAAGAUACAUGCAUCAGGGUUUGGUCAGAAGCAGAAACACUGGGUGAUAUACAAUGAGGAGUUUAUUCUAGGGAUCAGACAACUGUGGGAUCUAGUGAAGAAAUCAGUGGGAGUGUGUUGCCUCUGUGUUUGAUGAUGGGCUGAGUUCUCUGGUGGUCAGCAGAGCUACCAGGGAGAAAAGCUGGGCACGAAGUGUAGGAGAGCAAGGAAGAACCGCAAUUAGGAGGAAAAAGUAGAACACACAUUUCCCUCUUCUGACUUCCAUGACGUGGCUGACUUUGAAUAAAGAUCUAGUGCCCUUUGCCAUGGAGCUGAACAUGUACCUGGCCCAGGACUUGCAAAGCUGAAGGAGGAGACCUGGAGAGAGCUUCAGGAGCUGCAGUCACAGCUGCUGCCCUAAGUUAAGGAAUGAACGCCCUAUGAUGAUAGAGGCAGAGAUUGGAGUGAUGCAUCUACAAGCCAAGGAACACCAAAGUUUGCUGGAUAUCACCAGAAGCUAGGAGAGAGGAAUGGAACAGAUUCUCCCUCAGAGACUUCAAAAGGAACUAACCAUGAUGACACCUUGAUUUUGGAUUUCCAGCCUCUAGACUGUAAGAUAAAUUUCUGUAGUUUUAAGCCAUGCAGUUUGUGGGACUUUGAUAUGGCAGCCCAAGCAAAUGAAUGCAAAGGAUAACUACCUUAACCAUAUUUUAUAUUAGAUGGUAGAAAGAGGAGAAAAAAAGAAUUGGUUGAUAUAUCACCAAAUAUAUUUAUAUCAAAGUAUGGAAUAUUCAUAACUCUUACCGUCCUAAUUCCUACAACUGAUUAUGUGGUCACAGCAGAUGUUUUUAACUUCUUUCCAUUCUAUAUACCCUUUGUCCUCAGCAAGCACUUCACCUGGUUAUUGUUCCUUGCCUGUUGAGGUGACCUAAGUCUUCAUUUUUGAAGGAUCUGAACCUUUGGCAGUCUGCCUACAUUGGGUUGUUUUCCAUUUACUUUUGUUAUAAGACAUGAGAGUUUCAGAGGUGCCCUUUGUCUCCUUACUCGUAUAGUCUAGUAAUAAUCCAGUUUCCCCUUGAUAGUCACAGUCAUCCCAGCCAGUAUAGUAACCCCAUUCUUUGCCUGUUGGUUCUUUAGCAUGAGGAGCCCAAAGUGGCCAGUAGGCAGCAUCACCUUCCAGUUUAAUGGAGCCAUUGUUGGAUCUCCUAGCAGAGCACCUCUCCCUUGGGAACUAAGCCUUCUAGGCCAGCAGAAUCCAAAGUUGCAGGCUAGGAAGAACAAAUUUUGCAAGGGGAUCACGAGGGGUAACAGUGACAGGACAUUUUCCCAUUUCAACUCCUUGAUUUCUGGACCUGUGAAUCCUGGAUAAAGGAGAAACAGUAACAUAUAUUGGUUAAUGAUUUAGAGAAUUUACUGCAUUUUGAAAGACAUUACCCUAGCCCUGCAAAGUGUUUCCAUUCAUCUAGCACAGUAACUGAAUUGUCAAAAGAACCAUUCCACUGCUUCAGAGUGAUGGAUAAGAUGGUAAAACUAGUGAAUUACGUGAUCAUGAUCCCGUUGCUACACUUCAUUUGUCGCAAAAUAAGUUUCUUGGUUAGAAGCAAAGCAUUGUGGAAUACCAUGAUGGGGAAUAAGACAUAAGAAUUCUAUAAGUCUGCCAAUACUUAUUUUGGAAAAAGUAUUGCAGACAGGGAAGGCAAAUCCACAUGAAGCGUAAGUUUCUAUGGAGUGAGAACAAAACAUUGCCCUUUCCGUGAUAGAAGUGGCCUAAUGUAAUUAACUUACCAUCAGAUAGGUGGCUGAUUCUCUGGGAAUGGUGCUAUUUCAGGGGCUCAGUGUUGGGCUCUGCUUUGGUUGGGUUGGACACUAAGCGGUGGCUACAGCCAGAUUAGACAUGGUGAGCGAAAAUUCACAUUGCUGAGCCCAUGUAUACGCUCCAUCUCUGCCACCACAGCUACUUGGUUCAUGAUCCCAUUGGUCAAGAAUAGGAGUGACUGGAGAAAGAGACCUGACGGAGGUGUCAUCUUGACAAUUAUUAAGAUCUUUCUUUGCUGAGGUGGAGCUUUGUCGAGCAUUCACGUGGGACAUUGUGUAUCCAUUCAGGGAGUUCUGUCCAUUUACUUCUUCCCCAGACUUUCUUGUCACCAAUUUUCCAAUCAUGUUUCUUCUAAGUCUCCAAUGUAGAAUAUGAAAUUCAGAAUUAUCAUCCCAAGGAGUAGGGGGUCUAGGGAAUUUAUUCAUCAACUCCCGCUAGUCAUUCGAUGAAGGCUAAUUGAGUGCAGGAGGGACCAUCAUCCCUGACACUUCUAGUCUUAGAGGGCAGGCAGAGUGGCCAGAGAAAGUUCUCAGGCAAAGAAUCACAGUUCCUGGCACUUCAAGACAGGUUGGCUUGUUUUGGAAAUGGUAAAUAACACGGCAUAAGGCAGAGCACUAUAGGCUUCAUAACUGGUGGAGCAGACCAAUGGUUCCUUGGGGUCCUUUGCCCUUUUGACCAACUACUUAGUCCCAGUGAAAAUAGACAUAUUCAGAGAAGAACAGAAAGACUUCCGACAUUAGGUCAGAAAUCCAGAAUGUCUACUUGUUUUCUGUCCUGUUCCAUUCCUUGACAUUAUUUUACUAAUUAGACUCUACAUCCUUCAUUCUUCUAUUUCUCGUCUCAUUUUCUGUCAGGCAAAGAGACAUUUAGUUUGCCCUAUAGCAUCCAGUUCUAUGUCUUCACUAGAGUAAGAACUCAAUAUUUUAUUCCUGACUGAUCAGAAUAUUUUUAUCCCAUUGGUUUUUGCCAUCUAAAACAGUUGUCAGCUCACAAAAUUCCAGAAUAUUCAAAAAUAAGCUUUCAUGAACUGGGUGAGCCAUUGUAUUUACGUGAGAUGAUAUUAAAAAGCUAUCCUCUAUCUCAUGAAGUUGUCGUGGCAGACAGUACCCCAAAGAUCUAUUUUUCUGUCUUUAGCUAACUUAAACCUCUCUUUCCUUGUUUUGGAUGGUAGGGAGAAAAUUGCUGGUUGGAAGUGAUAGGAAGAACAAUGUCAGGAUCAAUGAUAGCAUCACAGCAAAAUAAUUAUUGUUAUAAUUGUAAUGCUUUGCAUUUAAAUUGCACUUUUAUCCAAAAGUCUCACAACACUUUUCUGAAUAUCUCUUUUGAAUUCAAAAGCAUUUACUGAAGAAGGCAGAGCAAAAUAUAAUUAUAUUACAAUUUUACUCUGAAAUGUAAUUCAAUUCAUACAAAGUGGAUUUUGGAAAUUGAAUUAUUGACAUACAUAUGAAAAAUUUUGUGGUGUAUUUUUGACAAAGGAAGUCCCAGCGUAUGGGUCUUUGAGGAGAGGAUGAAAAAUAGGUGCUAACACGUUUCCAAGCAAUGGACAGCGAAAUAGAAUAAAACUGUCAGGAAGCAGAUUGAGAUGAAAAACAAAAACCAAAGUCUCCCUACUCCUGGCCCAAAACUCUUGCUAGAGGGCUUUUAAAUGACAUGGCCCCAGGACUCCAAUAAAAGAUGAAAUCUUUUCUUCCUGGAAUAGCAAGACAUUUCUUAGAAGACGGUAGGCAUACAGAAAGAAUUAGACUCAAAGUAUCUAAGAUAGAGAGCAGGCAAGAGGUGAGCAGGAGGGGAAGGAACAGCUUACAGAGGUUCUGUCCUUCAGCCUUUGGACCCCUGCGGAGAUACAAAUGGACUUUGGGGUGUCUAUGAACCCUUAGAAACCACAUGUAGAUUGUGUAUGUGUUUGAACACAUUCAUUGUGAUGAGGGUGUCUCUACCUUACAUGAGAUUUUCCAACAGUCUCUUAACUAUGAGUUAUAAUCUCGUAUAACCUCUCUCUGCCAGCCUAGAGAGAUGCCCUGAAGACGUGGAUCUGACAUUGCUCUUAAAAGUAACCCCCAAAUUUCACUAGCUUAUGCACUGUUUGGACCUUGCCUACUUCUCCAGCCUCAGCUGAAAGGCAGCAGAAAGUAGUGAUAACAAGGCAGAUUCUAGAGAAAGAUUGCCUAGAUUCAGCUCUAUACUUACCAGCUGACAGUUAUAUGACCUGGAGCAAGUUACUUGGGACUUAUCCCAUCUGCAGCUCUGAUUCCUCAUGUUUAAAAUGGGGGUAAUAAUAAUAGCAUAUAACUUGGCUGGUUUGGGAGCACACUAACCUCCACCACAUUUAUCUUCUCCCAUUUCUUCAAACACCAUGUUCCUUCUCACCUCAGGGGCUUUGCACAAGCUUUUCCUUCUGCCUGGAAAGUUUUGCUUUUUGUGUGUGUGUGUGAGGAAGAUUGGCCCUGAGCUAACAUCUGUGCCUAUUUUCCUCUAUUUUAUAUGUGGGACGCCGCCACAGCAUGGCUUGAUGAGUGGUGCAUAGGUCCACAUCUGGGAUCCGAACCCGCGAACCCUGAGCCACCGAAGCAGAGUGCGUGAACUCUACCACUACACCACCAGGCCAGCCCCAACCUGGAAAGCAUUUUUGCCCCAUUUCUUUCCCUAGCUGAUCUCACAGGUCUCAGCUUAAACUUCACUUCAUAAGGCAAUUUCUGACCACCAUAACUUGGUUCAGCCCCUCUCUGUUAUGUUCUAUAUGACCCAGUGGAGUGCUGGAAUUGGCUCACACUGGCUGAUGGGAGCUGACUAUUAAAUUUUAUGGAAUUUUCUAAGCUGGCAACUGCUGCCAGCUUGAAGUCAACCAUGGUGGAAGUAUUUACUCCAUGGAAAUAGGCAAAUUUUACAUAUCAGGACUUUUUUUUUUCCUAAGCUGGUUUAACAAUAACUACUGUAUGUAAGAUCCUGUACAUUUUCUUUGUCACAAUUUUAAUUAUGCAAUGAUUUCUCUGAUUGUGUGUUUACAGUCAGCCUCCCUCACUCAGCUGUAGGCUCCAUGAGGCAGGAACUAUGUCUGUAUGUUCAAUGCUAUCCUUACACUACCUAAUAAAAAAUGUGACCCCAGCCCUUAACUCCUUUAAAGAAGCAGAUCAACAAAGGCAAUCUGGCAAAUGGUUCCCAUUCUGCUUCCUUAGGGAAGAAAAGAAUUAAGGAAGAAGAACCAAUGUUGACAUUCCUCUUCCAAUACUCCCCUCCAUGUGUCAUGGGAUAGCUGGAGUGUCAUACAUAAUGUAGUUCUUGGUACGGGGCCAUGAGAAGCUCCUGACAAUGGCAGGACUUUAGUGACCAUGUGGGGUGAAAAGUAGCACAUGUCCACCACUCAGGUUUGGAGAAAUGCAGCCUCUCAGUUAUUAUAACCAUCCUUCUUGGUAAUCUGGAUAGCCUUAGAACUCUCAGAGAUGCCUCUAUGUGUGUGCCUCUUUGCUGCCCACCCCAGUAGUUUCAGGUGGAGCUAAGGGGUUGCAAAUUGCCUGUGGAAUAGUGCUCCAGGAUGGUGCUGUGUCUGCUACCUCUUGGUGGUUUACAGCUAAAAGAGGGUGUCACAUGGGUGGUUUUGAUUGCCUGAAGACUAUGAAUUGGGAAACUCUAAAGAACUCAAAAAAGAUAGUGCAACUAGCUUAUCAGAGAUGGAGAAAUUGGGCCAGACUCACCAGAUGGGCUGCUGUAGCCUAAUCCUCUCCUAUUUGAGGCAGUUGACCUCUGCUGAGACCAGCUUCCACCAAAAAUUGACUCCUGUGGAUCUGCACAGGAUGGAGUGUUGCUCGCUACCAGGCAGAGGAUUCACAGGGCUUUGGCCAACUUGUCAGGAAGGAAAAUGGGUUCAGUGGAGACAAGGUAUACAGCUGGGGGAACACACCAAGCCAUUUCUCCAUCUUGAGGAUGUCAGUCACUGAGCUGUAGAUAAGUAGAGAAUGAGCCCCUAUAAUAUCUAGUAACCACCAACACAACUGAGCAUCCUGAAUCAGUUAGGAGAGUGGUGCUCCCAAUCUAGAAUCACUGAACCCUCAUGCCUUAUCAGGCUUGAUGGAUGGACAGGACUCAGCCCAGAACCUUAGGACCAUCAAAGGCAUGUGAUUCAAGGCAAUGCCCAGAGGUCAAGUUGUAGACAAUCAAGGGCUUCCAGACUGGAUGUCUCAUGAGCUGAGUUUACCCAGAUACCAUCCUGAGAAGGUGUAAAAUUUUCUGAUUGUCAGGUAUUAGGAGAUACAAACAAACAAACAAACACAUAGGCAUUGCAGCAGUCAAAUGACCUCAGAGCCUCCUCAACUCGUUGAGCUUAUCUGGAAAGCCCACUUGUAUCCUCUCCCCUCCCAGAUACAAGGCAGUAAGUCUCCUGGAGUUCAUUGCUCAAGCUUUAAUGUGCAUACCAGUGUUCUGGGUACCCUGUUAAAAAGCAGGAUCUGGUUCGCUAGAGGAGAGAUGAAGCCCAAGACUCUGCAUUUCCAUCACACUUUCAGAGGUUCCAAAGCUGCUGAUCCAAAGACCAUACUUUGAGGAGCAGGCCUCAGAGGACACCUUCCGCAAAGAGGUAAUUACGAGGGAGGUGAGUGCCACAGGUGCUCAGGGUGGGUCUCUCUGGGACCUAUCGUGCGCUCUGCCAGUGUGUCUGAUUUUUACUCUCCACCUUCCAAUUUUUGGAAAAUAGAGAUGACAAUAAAAUCUGUGAAAUGGAGAUAAUAGUAAUUUUUCUCUUUCAGCCCCUCAGCAAUAUCAUGAGAAAAUAACUUAAUGGCUGCUAAGUAUUUUCAAAUCCGGAGUGCUGUUAGCUUCUUGCUUAAGAGUACAUUUCCACAAGGACAGAAAAGUGCUUCAUAAUGACCCAGCGUCCACACAACUGUUGGGAGUGGGAGGGUGUUGCAAUCACAUGUCAUGGCAUCCUUCCUCACCGCCCCCUCCACAUUUUUUUUUUUGAGUUGUUCUCGUAAUAUAAGGUUUAUGGAUGUGCUGCACUCCAUCCACACCCUCAGUCCUAAGCUGAACUGUCCUUUCUAAUGGGCUGGUGGCAAACCUGUGGCUCAGCUAAUCAGGGCCCAUGAAUGUCAGGAUGCUUUACUGGGGCUGAUGUGGUUUUUCACUCCUGAAUUGUAUCUGACAGCCCGUGUGGGGCUGAAAGGCCAGGGCAUUUUUAGCUUUAGUUAAGCAACACCAAAAUCUUCCAGGUUGAAGCAAAUCCCUUUUUUACUGCUCUUGGAGUGCUAGCUGAGGGCACAGUGUAUCCUCAGCGCCAAGGCGCCGGCACAGAUGGGGCUGCUCUGGGCUGAUCCUCCUAUAUUUAACACGGCCCUAAUUACCCACAGGUCUCUGAGCGAAGAGGGCUGAUGAGCAGUUCAAGUUCCCUGCAUAGAAAUAGCCCCAGAAUAGUUCCAGUGUUGUUUCUAAUUGCAAUGGAUGAGCAGACUGUCUCAUUAAUCCUCUCCUAUCAGCGUGCAAACUGGCUGCCCCAGAAUAGCCCUGAUCUCAGCCAGCCCCGAGCCAGCUUUGGGGCUGGUGGUUUUGUACAUAUUUGGAGAGGGAAGGAUCUCCUCCCCAGAGAUGGCUGUGUGCGUUUGGGGGUGAGGAACAGUCUAUGGAUUCUGGAAUCUUAGGUAUACAUGGGAACUGGAUUCAGAAGAACAAAGAAUACCACAUGAGUCUGGGCAGGAUUGGUUCAAAACAGCAGUGAAGUAGCUGAAAUAUGUCCUUCAAAUGACCCCAGCAUGUUCUUGUGCCCUUUUACCUCUCUGUGUGAAUAUUUCACUCUGUUCAUUUCUCCUUGCUCUGACUUUUCUGUCUCUACUCAGUGUAGGAUCUAUCAGUCAUGUGCAUCUUAGUAUGAAUGUGCCACUAGGAGGUUUGCACAUGUUUACAGCUUUAAAAUUUACAAAGAUUACUUCCCUUUGCACACCCAUUCUAUUAGACUCUCACAGCAACCUUAUGAAGUUAGCAAUGGCAGGCAUUGUUCCCAUUACACAGAAGAGGAAAUUGAGACUCCGCAAGGAACACUUGGUGAGCACCCCAAGAUCACACAGUUAGCAAAUGACAGAUCUUGGACAAGAAACCAGACCUUUUCUCUGAUAGUUCUGGGAGAAACUUGAUUCCUUGUUAGAGAAAUAUAAUAUUUUAGUUAUGGUUGGGAUGAUACCAUGGACAAAGAAGACUCUGGAAUCAGACAGAUUGGGAUUUCAAUCUCUGACUCUGUGCAUGUGCAUGUUGUAAGAAUUAAAUAAGAUACUACACACAAAGGACCUCUAGUUGGCAAAGUGAAAGUAAGAAGGAAAAAAACAUUUAAUUCCGCAAUACUGAGCUAUUUUGUACUUUCCUUUGGGGAGAAGGAGAUUAACCUUUUAGAGCACAGGGUUCAAAAAGUAACGUGUGGGCCAGUCUUUCUCCUUCUUCUCUCUCCCUCCUUUCCUCCCCAACUAUUUAUGAAGCCCCUUGCAUGCGCUAGGCUCUGUGGGAGAUACAGUAAUUUUGCAAGUCAAGUUUCCCUGAAAUAUCAGACCAUUAAACCCAAUCAACUACCACUGAAUAGAAGAGAGGAGGAUUGUAAGUAAAAUUUGUUGAGCAGCUAUUAGGCUCCAGGCAAUGUUAGAUGUUCAUAUACAUAUAUAUUUGUUUAUAUUUAUAUGUGUAUAUAUGUGUGUGUAUGUGUCUCUGUGUAUGUAUAUGUGUGUCUGUAAAUGUAAUUUUCGCAAAAAACGCAUGAUGUAGUCUUCACAUUAUAGAGCAAAACACUUUAGAGGGGAUAAAUAACUUGACUAAAGAAGAGAAGUUAUUGUCUCAACUUCUCUUCCCAUAGCAGGAUGGAAAAAAAAUAAAAGAUGAAAGACGAAAGUAAUAAACUUGCCCAAGAUCACAUACAUCAAUGCAAGUGAAUGGUGACGUGCGAUCUACAACCACAGACCUUCGGGGACACCUGCGGUUAUUUUCUCGCAGAAUGUCAAAUCUUUCACAGCCUUCAAGGCCCAUCUUUGAAGUCACUGCCUCUUUGAAGCCUGGCCAGACUCUCCACUUCCUCUUCCUGCCCCUUGUCUACAUGGAUUGGUCUUUUCUACCUCUGCUCCCAUAGUGUGUUGUGUGUAGCCAUCCUGCACUGUAUCGCUGCUCAGUCAUGUGCUGCAUAACACAGUUUCACUCAACAAUGGACCACAUAUAUGAUGGUGGUCCCAUUAGAUUAGUACCAUACAGCCUAGGUGUGUAGAGGCUAUACUAUCUAGAUUUGUGUAAGUACACUCUGUGAUGUUCACACAAUGACAAAAUCACCUAAAAACACAUUUCUUAGAACAUAUCCCCAUUGUUAAGUGACACAUGACUGUAUUGUAAUUUAACAGUCUAUGUGUCAUAGCUAUCUUUUGUGAACUGCUUCAGAGGAUGACACCUGCCAUGUCUAAAAAAUCAACUAAGAAAUAAAUGGAAAGGGUCCACUUCUAGACGAGAGGAGGCAGUCUAUAGCAAGAGCUGGAAGUUCUCAGUAUUCAUUAUGCCCACACACUGUCUUCAAUCCUUUACAUAUAUCUUCUCAUCCAGUUUUCACAGCCUCUCCAGAAGGUAGGCAUUAUUAACCC
This 11402-nucleotide long non-coding RNA is filed under the name Equus caballus (horse). RNAcentral's name for it is "lncRNA (ENSECAG00000058085.1)". The record is from RNAcentral. Lineage: Eukaryota; Metazoa; Chordata; Mammalia; Perissodactyla; Equidae.